RNAcentral lists this long non-coding RNA (5164 nucleotides) under Triticum aestivum (bread wheat). RNAcentral describes it as "long non-coding RNA (TAES_LNC023998)". The record is from RNAcentral. Lineage: Eukaryota; Viridiplantae; Streptophyta; Magnoliopsida; Poales; Poaceae.
UGGCACUGCCCUUCGUCGACCCCCUCCUCGCCGUAUGGCUGCCUCGCCGCCCAGCAGCCACCACCACUGUCCACCUGGCCGUCAACCUCAUCCAGUACUACAGAGCGAAGGUGAGGAUGCUUGCCUGAAUCCCCAAAAUGUCAAAACUGAAAAUUUUAGUACUGUACUCACAUGUGAAUCACUCCAUUUUGGGCAUUUUUUGUGGAAUUUUGAAACAUUUACUCCAUUUUGGGACGCACGCAGGUGAGAUUCAGUGUACUCUACGAACUGCUUCAAAAUGUAGGGCAUUUUGGGACACACACAGGUGUGCAUUUUUGUGGAAUUUUCAGUUUGUAAAAUUGGAGUAUUGAAGAAGUGUAUUUUCCAUUUUGAAACUGAAAAUAAACCGUAUGUUCUGCAUUCUGUAUGUUGAUUAUCAAUUCUGUUUCCACUAAAUUUUGAUCAGUGACUAUAGCAUAAUAUCCAGUUUCCACUUUGUAAAUUCAGUUAACACAUUUGCUCUUUGUAAAUUCAGGUAACACAUUUAACACUUGGUAAAUUCAGUUAACUCAAGGCUAAAGACAAUCUACCAAGGCUAAAGCAUAUACUGACAUGAAACGACAAUAAUGGAGCCAUGGAGCAGCGGCAACUCAAGGUGAUGGAUCAUCUCUCUUGCCUUGUGCAGCUUGCUCUGUUUCAAAGCAUCUAAAUUUUCCAUUAGUUGAUAGCAGCACGAGUCAUGAGUCUCAUACGAUUUUCAUCAUCCUAAUAAGAGCAUCUAUCAACUGCUUGUUUGUGCCCAAGUGUUGCCAUUUUCUUCAGAUUCUUCUUCAAUUGCUUGCUUGUGCGCAACUGUCAGCAAUUCUAUUUUUUACGGUUAUCUUGUCGCCACCCAUGCAGGUCCUUUGAAAAUCAGAUCGUCCUAUUUGCAAUAUCAUGGGCUUUCACAAAGACAAGUAUAACAAGGAUUCCAAUGAGAAAUAGCGCCUAAAGAACAAGGUAUGUGUGAUAAAAUCAUCGUGCUUGGUGCAUUUGUCGUCCCAUCACUACGAAGCUGAAUUGAAAUUCUUAGAACAAAGCCCACGUUUGUAAAUGUGGCAGCUCAUAGCUGUCAAUGGUGGAGCUUUAAUUAUUUUUGUUACCUUGCAGCCCAGGAUUAUACUGUUGUCCUCUGCUAUUUAUCAAACUUCAUUGCCAUGCUGUAGUAUAUAGUCAUGCUCACUCACUCUUCUCUCUCUACCAUGUAAUGGCACUGGCACUGAAAUUAUUCAAUCUCUGUAUAAAAGGACUCACCAGUAUAUACUGAUAGCUAAUUAGCCAGGACCUUGAGAUGGACUAAUCCAGUGCUACUCCUCUCAUUAUCUAAUCUAUCCAUGCUAUGACUGCAUAUUUAUUUACUGUACCAAACAUGUCCACUGCAUAUCUGUUUUUGUUAUGCCAAUAAUUUUAGUAAAUUAGAAUAUACAGUAGUACUCCUUGUGACUAUUCUUGAGAUGGUCUUUCUUAUUUUAGCUGAUCCAUCCCAUGUGAUAUGACUAGAUUCUUGUCAUCCACUGUCCUUUUAUUUGUUCCAUGCUAAAUGGACCUCUCAUUAGUUGUUUAGUUGUCAAGCAAAAAUUUCAGUCCACUAACCCAAAUUAAUUCAAAUAACUAAAAUUAAUCCAAAUCAAUUCAAAUAAUUCAAAUAAUUCCAGAUAACCCAAAUUAAUUCAAAUAACCCAGAUAAUUCCAAUAAAUUUCAACAAGGAGUUGAUAUACAAGGAUUAGACAAGGCAUACACAAGGGCAUGACAUAAGGGCAUCUUUGUCCCCUCUUGACACAAGAUUACACAAGACAUACACAAGGAGCACCUGACUACAUGACAUAAGGGCCUCUUUGUCCCCUCUUGACUACAUUCUUUCUCUGGCCACUUCUUCCCUUCCCUUCCCUUUACUUUUCUUUCUUUUCCCUUCUCUAGCUAAUUCUGUCCUUUCAUUUUAUUUUCCUAUUGCAAUUUCCAUUUCUUCUAUAAUGGCCCUAGUAUCAACAACCACCCGACUGUCGCAAUAUACAUUGGUUAUUUCCAGUCCAGCAUUCUGAAAGCGAUCCUUGUGCAAGUGGGGCAACUUAUAUUGAUUUCCUCCUUUGUCUUUCAUAACUUCAAACAUAACUGCUUCUAAUGUGAUAAAGCUUUUGUGCAACUUGUCGGGAUCGUAGUUCUUGAAUUCCUCUUCCACACCCUGUACCAGUUCCUGGAUGUUUGUAGGUGACCUGCAGUCGGUUAGAGAAUGGAGAUAGUUAUGGAAGCAGAGGUCCAAACAAUUUAACUCAGGGCUAUUUGGGGGCUGUUAUAGCAAUCGGAUGUCAAGAUCAGUUUGUUCCACAGCUUCUCGAAAAGCUACAUCAUUGGGAAGGACAUGAGGCUUUGCGUUAUCCUGUUGGAUGAAUAUUGUUGCUCCCUCAUCAUCGUCAGGCCACUUAUCCUGAAUUGCCGGGAUAACCUUAUUGAUUAGAUAAUCUCUGCACACAGGCCUGGUUACUUUCACUGAUGUCAACACUUUUGUUCCCUUUGUUCUGUUCUGACUUGUCCGCUUCGCCUCAGUCUCUUCGACGAAUGCCCAAAUGCCGAUCUUCCCAUCGAAUGUUAGCUCCCCUCAUUGUUAUAUCGAGGCCUGGCAACAGCUGUUAGGAACAUUACUUUCCCAAUGCUGUGAGUGUUUGACACGGUGCGCUUCGGUUCAGGUUCUCCUGGAAGUACAUAGUAACUAUUCUUCACUCUCGUCAUGUCAAACCACUUUUCAUCGAUGUGAACCAUAUUCGUCAUUGGUUUGAACAUAGCCCGAGAAGUUGAGAUCGAAUUGUCAUCGACCAUGGACAUACAAAAUUUCAAUCUCGCAAGCUUGUUCUCUAGAUUGAGGUGAGGCUUCACGGUGCUUGUGAUGCGGUUGAGCUCAUUCAACUGGAACCUCUUAUGUAGGGUCGAUCGGGCCACACCUAGAGACCGUGCCAGAGAUCAAAUCGUCCUUCUUUUAUUCAGUGGGAUUGUUGAGGUCCUCUCUAGAUCCAGCUCCUUUCUCUUUCGGCCAGAUCUUCCUGGCUUCUUGCUUGAGACAUCUACUUAUUUGCCAUCGGCAAUUUGCUUUUUGGCGUCUUCCCAGAUUCUUUCAACAGAUCGUACACUUAUGUCCAACAGGUUUGAGACUAGCAGCUUGUCGUCUGGUUGAACAGACCCAUCUCUGAGCUCGAUUACUAGCAAGGCGAAGUAAACACCAUGCCUCUCCUUAUCUGACAAUUCUCUUCUCUUCUCUUGAAGUAUCCAAUUCAUAACUUCAUCCUCUUCCUCUUGAGCUUCAUCCUCUUUCCCUUCAUCUUCUUGAGGCAUCCAAUUCAUAGCUUCAUCGUCUUCCUCUUGAGGCAUCAAGUUCAAAUCAAUAGUUUCAUGUUCUUCCUUUUGAGGCAUCAAGUUCAAAUCCAUAGUUAUGUUUCCUGCCAUCAAUGACAAAAGAUGAGUACACCAUGGUACCAUAACAAGAAUAUACACACACAAAUGAGUAUGCAAGUCAAACAAGAAAUGCCGCCAUGGUACCAUUUCUACAAAUAGCUGCCAUGGCACCAUUUAUAGAAAGGCUCAUUAGCUUACAAGAGCCUCUAGGUUACUAGUAGAAGGAGGAGUACUACUGUCAACACUUUUGCCACUGAAUUUUCAGAUUAUGAUCAUGGCACUAUCAAGUUCAAAUGCAUUUUAACUGAAUUUUCUGUGCAUUUUAAUACUGCAUUUUAUCCACAUUAACAAAAAGUACUACUCCUUUUCUCCAGUGCAAUGUUCCGUGCAAAGAUCGCAUCAUGAGAACAAACAUGGCACUUGUUGCUGAGCCUGGACCAGCAGGACAAGCAUGCUACAUGGCCAUUUUGGCACUGGAAAAUACACAAAACAAGCUGUGAUCAUGCAAUGGUUAUCUAAAACUUUGCCUCUUAUAACAAAAGGUAGUCUUCUCAAAAGAAGCUACUCUGCCUUUGUAGCUUAAUUCGUUCCUUAAAUAUAAGCCAAAAAAUUAUAUGGAUCGCAUGGUUUUCAGAUUUCUGGAGUUGACUGUAUAUGUUAAAAAAAAGUAAACUGUAUCUAUGUCAGUAUGUGUUUAGAACCAGCCAUGGAAUGGUUUUUGCUCAGGAUUUCUAUCAUAUGCCCUUGGGUGCAGUAUAGUCUGCCAAGCUUAAGAAGAAGUGAAAAGUAAGCGUGCUUAUAAGCUGUGGUGUUCCACCUAAGCCGAUACAGCUUACGAGGUUUGUCUCUUUGUUAGUAACUUAUCAACUGAAACAUGUAAUGACCUUCAGAACAAACCCAGGUACCUAUACUGGAGGAAAAGACACAGCUCGGCGAGGAGAGAAUUCAGAGAGAAACAAUAGACCGUGAGACAUAAAACUAUAUACUCCAGAAAUGAAACAGUGUGAUCUUUGUUCCUUACUCGCUCGAUAGUUCUAGAACCUGACAGAUAGAAACUGUUGUUUCAGAAGGAAAUGAAACAGAAACAACUAACCAAAGGGAAAUCAGAGUGCCUUGAAUCCCAAAAUUAGUUUUCCUUCCAUAUGCAGAGAUUUGUGUCUGGGUGUGGCCAAGACAAAUUAGGAUCACGACGCUGUGUGGGUGUCAGAUCAGUUCAACUGAUUCGGUUGACAGGAAUAAUGGGGACAUUGACUCAAGAAUGCAUUUUAAAAACUGCUUUGUUGCCUAUCAUCUUCUCUGAUCCCCUCCUGCCAUGGCUAUGGAUUUUCUCAAUUAGCUCCAAUGGUGGUGUCUUUAAGACAUGGAAGUGUGCAAUUUUUCUGUAUGUGGUCUCAUAUUUUUGCUCAUGCGUGCUUUUUUCAGUUAUUUUUUCCCAUAUUUUGGAAAGAACCAUGCACAAAGGAAACAAACACUUCAUCUGAUGGAGUACCUUCUUCAACUAGCAGUACUCUGAUGGAGUAACUUCUUCAGAGGGCAAAUAGCACCAGCAGCAUCAGUCAUGGCGGCAGUCAACAGCAACAACAACAGCACAGGCAGAGGAGCAGUAGCAUCAACACGGAUCAACAACAGCAGCACAGGCAGAGGAGCAGUAGCAUCAACACGGGAAGAGGAGCAGCAGCAGUACCACGGGCUAGCUCCAAUGGCGGCAGGGGAGAAACAGAGGAGAAACAAGAUGCAGCAACACGGGCUAGCACCACUGGCGGG